Molecule: RNA transcript, 2521 nt
Organism: Pan troglodytes (chimpanzee)
Lineage: Eukaryota; Metazoa; Chordata; Mammalia; Primates; Hominidae
Gene: AP5S1
Gene name: adaptor related protein complex 5 subunit sigma 1
Exons: 4
Source: RefSeq, a predicted model, not a curated record
GCCGGGGUCGGCAGCCUGGAGCUCCGCUGGUCUAGGGCAACGAGCGGGGGACGCUUCGAGCCCGCAGCGAGAGUGACCAGCAUGGUCCCUGCCGGCAGCUCGGGGCCGGAGGGUUUUGACUGCAAGGCCAGCCCACGCCGAGGGUCCAAGCAUCGGGAUAUGCCGCCCGCACCUGGCCGUUGCAACAACGCGCUGGACGUGAGCGCUCCGCCCAACCCGAUGGCGUCAGCUGGCGCGCGCGCCCGCGACCGACGUGCGCAGGCGCCCACGGGCCGCGCAGCCGCCAUUGCUCUCCUGCCACGGAGGGGAGCGCUUGUUGGCAGUCCGCGGGCCCGGACGGAAGGCUGAGGCGACGCCUCGACGACAGCGGACCGGAGCUGCAGGGGCAACACAUUCAGGGCGGGGUGCCCCAUUUAGGCCUGGCUGACUGGAGUAAGAAACUACAACCCCCGAAGUGCAUUGCGCCUCAAGGUUACGGAGGCAGUGAUCACCCACCCUGGAGCCAUGGUCCACGCCUUCCUCAUUCACACCUUGAGGGCCCCGAAUACUGAGGACACGGGCCUUUGCCGAGUGCUGUACUCCUGCGUCUUUGGUGCUGAGAAGUCACCUGAUGACCCACGGCCGCAUGGUGCCGAGAGGGACAGGCUUCUCCGGAAGGAACAGAUUUUAGCUGUGGCCAGGCAGGUAGAGUCAAUGUGUCGGCUGCAGCAGCAGGCAUCUGGCCGGCCCCCCAUGGACCUGCAGCCGCAAUCCUCAGAUGAGCAAGUGCCGCUGCACGAGGCCCCACGCGGGGCUUUCCGCCUGGCAGCAGAGAACCCUUUCCAGGAGCCACGGACGGUGGUGUGGCUGGGCGUGCUCUCGUUAGGCUUUGCCCUGGUGCUGGAUGCCCAUGAGAACCUGCUACUGGCUGAGGGCACACUCCGGCUGCUGACACGCCUCCUCCUUGACCACCUCCGGCUGCUGGCGCCCAGCACCAGCCUUCUGCUGCGGGCUGACCGCAUUGAGGGCAUCCUCACCCGCUUCCUGCCACAUGGUCAGCUGCUUUUCCUCAACGACCAGUUUGUCCAAGGCCUGGAGAAGGAAUUCAGUGCCGCUUGGCCCCGCUGAUUCCUCGUUGGGAUGGUGCUUCUGAGGGCAGGCAGAGGGUAGACACACAGCCAGAUGAAGCUUGGCAUCUACCUCCUACCCAGCAGCUCUGAUGUGCUGCUAUACCAGGACAAGUGGGUGACACAAGCCUGCAGAAAGAGGGCUGGGCAGAGGGUGGAGGAGGUCCUGCCUAUCCUCAGGCGGAGUUUCUCUUUGUUGCCCAGGCUGGAGUGCAGUGGCGCAAUCUCGGCUCAUUGCAAGCUCCGCCUCCCAGAUUCACGCCAUUCUGCCUCAGCCUCCCAAGUAGCUGGGACUACAGGCGCCUGCCACCACGCCCGGUUAAGUUUUUCUAUUUUUAGUAGAGACGGGGUUUCACCGUGUUAGCCAGGUUGGUCUACAUCUCCUGACCUUGUGAUCCGCCCGCCGUGGCCUCUCAAAGUACCGGGAUUAUAGGCGUGAGCCACCACGACUGACUGGCAUGAAGUCACAGGUUUUAAGGCAGGAACUGGCCUGCAUGUAUGUGGGUCACUGAUUGGGAGGGUGGUGAGCCCUGGGAUGGGAUUGGAUCAUCGUGUCUUCUUUAGGGCAGGGUGUUUUUUUCUAGGCCUGUGGUGCUGCGCACUGUCCAGCAUCCCCCCAGGGCUCAAUGUUUUCUUUUCUUUUUCUUUCUUUUUUUUUUUUGAGAUGGAGUCUCACUCUGUUGCUCAGGCUGGAGUGCAGUGGUGCAAUCUUGGCUCACUGCAACCUCUGCCUCUUGGGUUCAAGCAAUUCUACCGCCUCAGCCUCCCAAGUAGCUGGGAUUACAAGCAUGUGCCACCAUGCGUGGCUAAUUUUUGUAUCUUUAGUAGAGACAGGGUUUCACCGUGUUGGCCAGGCUGGUCUCGAACUCCUUACCUCAGGUGAUCCACCCAUAUUGGCCUCCCAAAGUGCUGAGAUUACAGGUGUGAGCCACCAUGCCUGGCCUCAAUCUUUUCUUUUAAACAAUUAUUCCUAUAUUUUAUUGUAAUGCAGUUAACCGUGUUUGUCAGAUUCAAUACUCUGUGACCCGUUAACCAAGUCUCUGUAUGUUUAUUACUGCAAUUGAAGUGGCCGUGACCGUUUUCUUAAAUAUACUUUAUUUGUUUAGUGCAAUUUUAGGUUCACAGUAAAACUGAGCAGAGGGUACAGAGAGUUCUCAUUUACUCCCUGUCCCCACACAUGCACAGCCUCCCUUAUCACCAACACUGGGCACCAGAGUGGUCAUUUGUUACAACUGAUGGACCUUCAUUGACAUGUCACUAUCACCAGAGUCCAUAGUUUACAUUAGGGUUCACUCUUGGGGUGGUACAUUCUAUAGGUUUGGAUGUAUUUUCAGUGACAUGCAUCUACCAUUAUAGUAUCAUACAGAAGAGUUUCACUGCCCUAACAGUCCUCUCUGCACCUAUUCAUCCUUCCC